GUGUUGGUCCCGUGCGAUGCGGCCCGUGAACCCCGUCAGGACUGGAAGGUAGCAGCGGUAAGCGGUCAACCGUAUGCGCCGCGGGGGUGCCUGCCAGCC
Molecule: signal recognition particle RNA, 99 nt
Filed under: Eubacteriales bacterium
Lineage: Bacteria; Bacillati; Bacillota; Clostridia; Eubacteriales
Description: signal recognition particle sRNA small type
Rfam family: Bacterial small signal recognition particle RNA
About the family: The signal recognition particle (SRP) is a universally conserved ribonucleoprotein involved in the co-translational targeting of proteins to membranes. Archaeal SRP consists of a 7S RNA and homologues of the eukaryotic SRP19 and SRP54 proteins. In most bacteria, the SRP consists of a 4.5S RNA and the Ffh protein (a homologue of the eukaryotic SRP54 protein).
Source: RNAcentral